RNAcentral lists this unclassified non-coding RNA (589 nucleotides) under Hevea brasiliensis (rubber tree). Lineage: Eukaryota; Viridiplantae; Streptophyta; Magnoliopsida; Malpighiales; Euphorbiaceae. The record is from RNAcentral.
UGAUAAGAAACAAAGGACUUUGAUUAAUUUCUUGGUGAAUUCUCCAAAGGGAACUGUUUUCAUGGAAUCUGUUGAUGCUUCAGAGUACUCAAAAACUGGUGAUAAGAUGUAUGACCUGCUUAAUAGAUUUGUAGAGCGUGUUGGAGAGGCUAAUGUGGUUCAAGUUGUGACAGAUAAUGCUAGCAAUUGUGUGCUUGCAGGGAAGUUGUUAGAAAUAAAGUGCCAUAGUUUAAUUUAAUUGUAAGUAAAUAAUGUAUUUAAUAUUUAUGCUACUUGCUACCAUAUUUGUUUUGUUUUUAGGGAAGUUGUUAGAAACAAAGUGCCCUCAUUUGUAUUGGACUCCUUGUGCUGCUCAUUGCCUAGAUUUGAUGCUAGAAGAUAUUGGAAAAAUUCCCAAAAUUCAUAACACAAUUAAAAGGGCAGUGACAUUGAAUGGAUAUAUUUACAUUCGUCCGGGUGUUGUGAACAUGUUGCGGCACUUUACUGGUGAAAGAGAGCUAAUUAGGCCAGCUGUCACAAGAUUUGCAACUGCUUUUCUCACCCUUCAACGUAUACGUAAGCACAAGGCGAAUUUGAGAAAGAUGUUUAC